AAAAGCUCGUAGUUGGAUUUCUGUUAAUAAUUUAUAUAAAAUAUUUUGAUGAAUAUUUAUAUAAUAUUAACAUAAUUCAUAUUACUAUUUUUUUUUUUAGUAUAUGAAAUUUUACUUUGAGAAAAUUAGAGUGCUUAAAGCAGGCAUAUGCCUUGAAUACUCCAGCAUGGAAUAAUAUUAAAGAUUUUUAUCUUUUUUAUUGGUUCUAAGAUAAGAAUAAUGAUUAAUAGGGACAGUUGGGGGCAUUUGUAUUUAACAGUCAGAGGUGAAAUUCUUAGAUUUGUUAAAGACAAACUAAUGCGAAAGCAUUUGCCAAGGAUGUUUUCAUUAAUCAAGAACGAAAGUUAGGGGAUCGAAGACGAUCAGAUACCGUCGUAGUCUUAACCAUAAACUAUGC
This 397-nucleotide ribosomal RNA is filed under the name Cryptosporidium hominis. Its description in RNAcentral is "partial 18S ribosomal RNA". It matches the Rfam family "Eukaryotic small subunit ribosomal RNA", at positions 622 to 1042 of the family's 1831-position model. Lineage: Eukaryota; Apicomplexa; Conoidasida; Eucoccidiorida; Cryptosporidiidae. The record is from RNAcentral.